UUAUUAUUUACAAUAAUGAUUAGGUUUUGUGCAAUUCGACCUAGCUUGAAUUUAACGAGUUGAAUACUUUAAUAUAUAUAUUUAUGUUGAAUUUAUUAGAAAUAACUUUUUUAUUAGUAGUGUUUAUUGAAAUUUUUAUGUGUGUGAUAGUUUAUAGUACUGUAAAGGAAUUAUAAAUUUUAAUUUUAAGCAAAUUUUAUUUAUUGUACCUUUUGUAUCAGGGUUUAUUAAUAUAAAGAUUAAUUAUUUAAUUUUCCCGAAAUUAGAAGAGAUAUAUUUUUAUGAUAGUUUAUGUUUUAUAAUAAUUAUUAAUUUUAAUAUAGGGGUUAUAUGCUAUUCAUUUUUAAAUAUCUGGUUUUCUAAUAAAUUAAUUUAAUUAAAAUAAUUAUAUGUUGAUUUAUAAAUUUAUUUUAUUUAAAUUUAAAUAUCAAAGAUUGUUAGGGAUAAGCUUGACAUUUAUUUCUAUAAUAUUAUUUUAUUUAAAUUUUGUAGGUUUAAUAACAUCCAUCUUUAAUUUCGUUAUAGUUUAAUUUAUUUUAAAUUUUAUUUUGUUAAUAUUUAGUUUAUUAUUAAAGUUAAGUAUUUAAUUUUUUAUUAUUUGUAUUAAUGAUAGAAUUAGUAGAUUAUUAAUUUAAGUUUAGUAACUCGGCAAUUAUUACUCUCGCCUGUUUAACAAAAACAUGUCUUAUUGAUAAUAAUUUUAAGUCUAGCCUGCUCAAUGAAUUUUAUUUUAAUAGCCAUAGUAUUUUAACUAUGCAAAGGUAGCAUAAUCAUUUGUCUUUUAAUUGAAGGCUUGUAUGAAGGGUUUGACGAAGGGUAAACUUUCUUAAUUUAAAUUUAAUUAAAUUUAACUUCUGGGUAAAAAGGCUCAGAUACAGUUUUGAGACGAGAAGACC
Molecule: ribosomal RNA, 896 nt
Filed under: Amphiareus morimotoi
Lineage: Eukaryota; Metazoa; Arthropoda; Insecta; Hemiptera; Anthocoridae
Description: partial 16S ribosomal RNA
Source: RNAcentral